CCUACGGGGGGCAGCAGUGGGGAAUAUUGCACAAUGGGGGAAACCCUGAUGCAGCGACGCCGCGUGAGUGAAGAAGUAUUUCGGUAUGUAAAGCUCUAUCAGCAGGGAAGAAAAUGACGCUCCCUGAUUCAGAAGCCCCGGCCAACUACGUGCCCGCAGCCGCGGUAAUACGUAGGGGGCACGCGUUAUCCGGAUUUACUGGGUGUAAGGGGAGCGUAGACGGAAGCGCAAGUCUUAAGUGAAAUGCCGGGGCUUAACCCCUGAACUGCUUUGGAAACUGUGCAGCUAGAGUGCAGGAGAGGUGAGUGGAAUUCCUAGUGUAGCGGUGAAAUGCGUAGAUAUUAGGAGGAACACCAGUGGCGAAGGCGGCUUACGGGACUGUAACUGACGUUGAGGCUCGAAAGCGUGGGGAGCAAACAGGAUUAGAUACCCCAGUAGUC
Molecule: ribosomal RNA, 440 nt
Filed under: uncultured bacterium
Lineage: Bacteria
Description: partial 16S ribosomal RNA
Rfam family: Bacterial small subunit ribosomal RNA
Source: RNAcentral